UUGAUGCGGCAGCUACCAUGCAAGUCGAGCGCACCCUUCGGGGCGAGCGGCGGACGGGUUAGUAACGCGUGGGAACGUACCCUUUUCUACGGAAUAGCCUCGGGAAACUGAGAGUAAUACCGUAUAAGCCCUUCGGGGGAAAGAUUUAUCGGUAAAGGAUCGGCCCGCGUUAGAUUAGAUAGUUGGUGGGGUAAUGGCCUACCAAGUCUACGAUCUAUAGCUGGUUUUAGAGGAUGAUCAGCAACACUGGGACUGAGACACGGCCCAGACUCCUACGGGAGGCAGCAGUGGGGAAUCUUAGACAAUGGGCGCAAGCCUGAUCUAGCCAUGCCGCGUGUGUGAUGAAGGCCUUAGGGUCGUAAAGCACUUUCGCCAGGGAUGAUAAUGACAGUACCUGGUAAAGAAACCCCGGCUAACUCCGUGCCAGCAGCCGCGGUAAUACGGAGGGGGUUAGCGUUGUUCGGAAUUACUGGGCGUAAAGCGUACGUAGGCGGAUCAGAAAGUAGGGGGUGAAAUCCCGAGGCUCAACCUCGGAACUGCCUCCUAAACUCCUGGUCUUGAGUUCGAGAGAGGUGAGUGGAAUUCCAAGUGUAGAGGUGAAAUUCGUAGA
RNAcentral lists this ribosomal RNA (610 nucleotides) under Sulfitobacter sp. RNAcentral's name for it is "bacterial SSU rRNA". It matches the Rfam family "Bacterial small subunit ribosomal RNA", at positions 36 to 694 of the family's 1533-position model. The record is from RNAcentral. Lineage: Bacteria; Pseudomonadati; Pseudomonadota; Alphaproteobacteria; Rhodobacterales; Roseobacteraceae.